Molecule: ribosomal RNA, 408 nt
Filed under: uncultured bacterium
Lineage: Bacteria
Description: partial 16S ribosomal RNA
Rfam family: Bacterial small subunit ribosomal RNA
Source: RNAcentral
GACGAACGCUGGCGGCGUGCUUAACACAUGCAAGUCGAACGGAGUGGCGAACGGGUGAGUAACACGUGGGUGACCUGCCCUGCACUUCGGGAUAAGCCUGGGAAACUGGGUCUAAUACCGGAUAGUGUGGGAUGGGCCCGCGGCCUAUCGGCUUGUUGGUGGGGUAAUGGCUUACCAAGGCGGCGACGGUUAGCCGGCCUGAGAGGGUGGACGGCCACAAUGGGACUAGGACACGGCCCAGGCGCCUAUGGUGGGCAGCAGUAGAGAGUAUGGCACAAUGGGCGGAAGCGUGAUGCAGAGACGCCGCGUGGGGGAUGACCGCCUUCGGGUUGUAAACUCCUUUCACCAUCGACGCGGUAGAUGGAGAAGAAGCACCGGCUAACUACGUGCCAGCAGCCGCGGUAAUUC